UCAGUUUGUGCCCAUCACCUCUUGUCACUGAAUACCACUGAGAAGUGUUUGUCUCCACCUUCUUUACCCUCCAAUCAGCUAGUUUUUGCUGCCUCCCUUCAGCCAACGAGAGCAUCUUGGGGCCCUACAGCAAGUCAAGAUUAGCUGACUGGAAACUAAUCACACGGGAAAACAAUAACCAACACCAAAGAUAAAUGAUCUGGCUCAACUGAUUGCAAGUGUUGAUACAAGAAUGAGAACAGGAACCUGUACAUGCAGAAGUCCAUAAGAUCUGACAAAGUGUAUUGAGGGAUAUCCAAGGUCUUGAGGGAACUGGCUGAUGUAGCUGCUAUGCUGCUCACCACUGUAUUCAAAACAUCAGGCAGUAUUCAAAAUAGCAGUCAGGAAAGUCACCAGUGACUGGAAAAAGAGAAAUAUCAUGGCCAUCUUUAAAAAAGGAAGAAAGGAGGACCCUGAAUAUUACUAACCAGUCAAACUCACCUCUUUGCCUGAUAAGAACACAGAAAAGAUCUUCCUGGAAGUAUGUCAAAGCAUGUGUGGGGCAGGAAAGUAAUUAGAAAUAGCCAACAUGCCAACAUGGCUUCAAAAAAGACAAAUCAUGCCUGGCUAAUCUGAACAUCCCUCUAUGAUGCAGUGACUGCAUUGGUCAGUAAGCAACUUAUGGCAUCUACCUUGAUUUCUGCAAGGCCUUUGACAUGAUUCCCACACAAUACCUGAGCUGCUAAAUUGGAGAGACACGAGUUUGAUGGAUGGACUAUUCAUUGAAUAAGAAAUUGUCUGGAUAACCACGUCCAAAGAGCUGCAGUCAACAGCUCAAUAUCCAAAUGGAUAUCCUUAGAAAAUGGUGUCCCUCAGUGGCCUGUAUGGGGAACUGGUACAAUAUAAUUGCUUACAACUGAAAGCCUUGCUGAUGCAGUAAGCAAUGGGAUUUAUAUUAAAUAUUCUGCUUCUUUCAAGAGUUUCCUCUAUGAUACUUUGCAAAAGCGGAUUGUGUUUACUGUGUGGAAUUUCUUAUUCUUUUGCCUGCAUAUUUAGAUUUGUACAUUUUUUUCUUACAUAAGAACUAUGAGUUGAACAGUUUCGGGUGUUAAAUCACCAUUGCAUCCCAUUGAAAUGCAUAUUCCUCAGAGUGUGAAAACAUUUUGUGCAUUUUGGAUACAUUAAAUUAUGAAAGUCUUUAAAGUAGAUAGACAUUAGUUAUAGAACUUCUUCUAAAGAGAAAAAAAUAUUUUAUAAAGAAAUAGGUGGUUCAGUAGAAGGAAAUUCAAAAUCCUCAGCUACCAGAAUUCUUUUUGUUGAAUUCCCAACAAAUAUAUUUCCUUCAAUCACUUCCAAAACCUCAAAAUUUACUGUAUGUUAGCAAGCACUGGAGUCUGAGUUUCUCUAGCUGUUUCAGAUAUCCAUAUGUCUGUUAACUUUUGUCAGAUUUUGACUUUUUGUGACAGCAUCAUAUAUUGGAAGGAACUAGUAAGGCUUAAACAUCAGAAUUUGGAUUCUAUUUUUGAUUUCACAUAAAACUCUGAAGGGUUAAAAUGCAGAUUAUAAGGCUGGUGUGCAAACAUUAGCACAAGUCAUGGAGAAUAACUGGCUUUGGAACACUUUAGACAAAUACUGAGAAAUUCCUGUUGAUUUAUGCCUGUUGUUGACUACUGUGUUGAACAAUGUUUGUAAGAUGUAGCUGUGUGUUCCAGGAGUUUAGGAGAAUAUAUGUCAGCAAAAUAAAAGUCCUAUAGGAACAAUCCCUUGUUGAGGCUGGAAACAGUCUAAUUUUUUUGUUUACUAAAUUCCUCUUGGAGAAACCAAUUUCAUUCAAAGCAAUGCAAGAUUUAUUCAUCCUGUUCAUACCAGAGUAAGAAAUCCCUUUUACUUCAGAGACCAUUAACAGAAUUUCACUGCUGGCCAUAGGACUGGAUUUCUCAUGU
Molecule: long non-coding RNA, 1922 nt
Organism: Parus major (Great Tit)
Lineage: Eukaryota; Metazoa; Chordata; Aves; Passeriformes; Paridae
Exons: 3
Source: RefSeq, a predicted model, not a curated record